Rana temporaria (common frog) is the source of this 1476-nucleotide long non-coding RNA. RefSeq lists it as uncharacterized. NCBI's taxonomy places the organism in Eukaryota, Metazoa, Chordata, Amphibia, Anura, Ranidae. The record is from RefSeq and is a predicted model, not a curated record. The transcript is spliced from 2 exons.
ACUCAAGCUCUCACACUUAGAAGAAGGCUGACAUAGCCACACACACACACAAAGAUAUAUAUUUGCAACUUUCAUUUCAAGAUUAAGAAACUUAUUGAUGCUAUUUUUAUAUUCUACAAUUGAUGAUAUUCAUGUGAUAUUUUACUAUUUUAUCAUUAAAUACAUUUUGGAGUUUUUACACAAGAACGGAACGGAUUUUCUUGGAACUUUUCUCAUCAAUAUGAAUAUCGAUUAUUAAUACAAUAAUACCGACUUACUGACUUUAUUUCAAUGGCGAGCCUUAGCCAGAAUCGAUUUGCUUGAAUAUCGAACGUUUUUGAAUUAUUUCUCCUAUCGCUUGUCGAGAGGGAAAACAAGCAUUGAUCAUGCAGACAAGCUUCAAGGAGAAAUAAAAACGAAAGAACUUUCAGCAUCAUCGAAUGGAUCUGGAAACAUAGAAUUAUUUGGUGAAGAAGUUUACAUACGUAAGAAAAUCCUGUUUCUUGAUGACGUAAUUUCCCGUAAAGAGAGGGAAAGCGUGAAAGAAGUCGUCCUAAAUUGGAUCUGACUUAUGAGUCACCAAAAGAAGAGAAAUGUCAUAUUUCUAAGAUCUUCCAGAUGCAAACAAGCCCUUUGAAACUUAAGAAAAUAGUUCUGGGAGAAGAUGACAUAUGAGAUUCAUUUGUCAUAAUUAUUGUUGUCUUUUUAUGUUUAAUAAAGUUUUUCAACUUUACAGUACAGGAGUACAAGAGGAAGAAAAAGAAAGAAGAAUCAAUACCUCUAAUGAGAGGGAAAUUUCUAAAAACAAUUGACUUUUUAUUUUUGACGACUGAUGAUAUAAUUUUAUCCAUCAGAUAUAUUGUAGUUUUUAUAUAUGAACUUUUUAUGUGACGAGAUAUGUUUUUCAUAUCAAGAAGAGAUAUUUUUUACACACCAAUUUUUAAAAACAAAUGUAGUGUACUUUCAGAGUUGAAAGGGUUCAACUUUUUUACAAUGAAGUCUAGUUAGUAGGAACAUCUGGUGUUAAUUAAGCUAGAGUACAUGUUUCUUAAAAGGUACAUAAACAAGUUAGGAUUAACUUUACCUUGUAAUAUGCAUUUAGUUUUGAAGUCAUCUCACAUAUAUGAACAAAUUGAAGUUAGGAACAUAUUUUAUAUUUACAUUUUGACAAGGUUAUUAGAAAUGUUGUAUGGAUUAUAGUUAAAUAUGCUGAGCACAAUUUGGAGGGAAAAUAUGAAAUAUAUAUUUCUGAAGUGACAUUCAUACUUCAAAGUAUUGUACAACUAUGCUACAGUCAUGGAUUUAGGAAUAUUAAGGGGUUGAUUUUAUGGCAAAAGGAAGAAGAAAUGAAUAAGGUAUAAAAAAAUAUUUUAUGGUACAUGAAGCAAAAGUUUUUUUGAAAUCACUUUUCCUUAUGUGGAAUUGGAAUUGAGAAUAUAUUCAAGUCAAUUAUCUUAGGAUUUAUAUGAAUGAAUACAUAUGUGAAGCAAAUGAUUA